Molecule: ribosomal RNA, 634 nt
Filed under: Lactococcus cremoris
Lineage: Bacteria; Bacillati; Bacillota; Bacilli; Lactobacillales; Streptococcaceae
Description: bacterial SSU rRNA
Rfam family: Bacterial small subunit ribosomal RNA
Source: RNAcentral
GGACGAACGCUGGCGGCGUGCCUAAUACAUGCAAGUUGAGCGAUGAAGAUUGGUGCUUGCACCAAUUUGAAGAGCAGCGAACGGGUGAGUAACGCGUGGGGAAUCUGCCUUUGAGCGGGGGACAACAUUUGGAAACGAAUGCUAAUACCGCAUAACAACUUUAAACAUAAGUUUUAAGUUUGAAAGAUGCAAUUGCAUCACUCAAAGAUGAUCCCGCGUUGUAUUAGCUAGUUGGUGAGGUAAAGGCUCACCAAGGCGAUGAUACAUAGCCGACCUGAGAGGGUGAUCGGCCACAUUGGGACUGAGACACGGCCCAAACUCCUACGGGAGGCAGCAGUAGGGAAUCUUCGGCAAUGGACGAAAGUCUGACCGAGCAACGCCGCGUGAGUGAAGAAGGUUUUCGGAUCGUAAAACUCUGUUGGUAGAGAAGAACGUUGGUGAGAGUGGAAAGCUCAUCAAGUGACGGUAACUACCCAGAAAGGGACGGCUAACUACGUGCCAGCAGCCGCGGUAAUACGUAGGUCCCGAGCGUUGUCCGGAUUUAUUGGGCGUAAAGCGAGCGCAGGUGGUUUAUUAAGUCUGGUGUAAAAGGCAGUGGCUCAACCAUUGUAUGCAUUGGAAACUGGUAGACUGA